Long non-coding RNA from Rattus rattus (black rat), 924 nucleotides. RefSeq lists it as uncharacterized. The record is from RefSeq and is a predicted model, not a curated record. The transcript is spliced from 2 exons. Lineage: Eukaryota; Metazoa; Chordata; Mammalia; Rodentia; Muridae.
AGCCAGUGAAGGUGGAGUGGUCUGAAGUGAGCUAUCUGGAGGGGUCUAGACUCUGAGUGUUGUGGUCAGCAUUGUCAUAGGGGUGAAAAGCCAAGGUGAGCAGAGGAGAGAGCACAGGCACAGUGGGCUCACACUUACCCCAUCCACUCUGACUUUCUUUCAGGAAGGUCAUGACUUUCAUGAAGGUGUUAGAGCUGUUCUCAUUGACAAAGACCAGACUCCAAAAUGGAAACCAGCUGAUCUAAAAGCUGUUACUGAUGAAGAUUUGAAUAGUUAUUUUAAAUCUCUGGGAAGCAGGGAUUUGAAAUUCUGAGGUUUAUUUUGGAGCAAGGGUCAGCACACCAUAGCAGAGACGCCAGGCCUGGCAUCUUGCCCAUUUUUGUGCAACCUACAAGCUGGAAAUAGUUUUCUUGUUUUUAAAUGCUUGGGAAAGAAAUGAAAAGACUAAUGUUUCAUAAUAUAGUGGUUGCCUGAAGUUUAAGCACCAGUGUUUAUAACUUUUCAUGAUGUGACAGCUAAAGUUCAAACACCAGUGUUUUAUGGAGCCUUCCUGCAGUGGAGCGGAACUUGUUCUCUAUGGCUCCUUGGAGUGGCCAUGGCACAGACUUCGUGACCCACAGCACUUCAAGUAUCUAAGUAUCUACUGUGAUCUUCGUCAGAAAUGGUUUGCUGGUCCCUGGUUUAUAAGAAAAUUCUUAAGAGCUCCAGAGAAUCCCAAGUCAUUUCUCAUUAAAACAAUGACUGUAACUCCUAGUUUAUCAGUAAUUAACCAAAUUAUGUACAGAUUAUCAGAAUCCAAACCUUGAAAUUUGGAGAGGGUUUGUUGAUGCCUUAUAAAUUUUCCUUUUUUAAACAUUUCCUACUUUAAAACAAUAUUGUAGCAGAAUUACUUUGUAAACAUUAAAAAUCUCAUGCAAAAAACAA